UACGGGGGGGGCAAGCGUUGUUCGGAAUUACUGGGCGUAAAGGGCUCGUAGGUGGCCAACUAAGUCAGACGUGAAAUCCCUCGGCUUAACCGGGGAACUGCGUCUGAUACUGGAUGGCUUGAGUUCGGGAGAGGGAUGCGGAAUUCCAGGUGUAGCGGUGAAAUUCGUAGAUAUCGAGAGGAACACCGGUGGCGAAGGCGGCCAACUGGACGAAGACUGACGCUGAGACACGAAAGCGUGGGGAGCAAACAGG
RNAcentral lists this ribosomal RNA (253 nucleotides) under uncultured bacterium. Its description in RNAcentral is "partial 16S ribosomal RNA". It matches the Rfam family "Bacterial small subunit ribosomal RNA", at positions 524 to 776 of the family's 1533-position model. The record is from RNAcentral.